GAUGAAGAACGUAGUGAAAUGCGAUAAUUAAUGUGAAUUGCAGAAUUCCGUGAAUCAUCGAGUCUUUGAACGCACAUUGCGCCUCAUGGCAUUCCGUGAGGCAUGCCCAUCUCAGCGUUAGAAAAUAUUCUCAAAUUGUAGUUUUGUGCUAAAAUUUGGAUCAUGUCAAGGAAGCUAUUACUAUUAUUGUGAUCGCUCUUUGGAAAUUGAUAGGUCUUUGAGUUGCUACUCAUAGAACGUGAUGAAUCUUUCUUCGUUCUAUUGUAAUUCACUCUGGUAGUCCUAAAACUUGUAUGCCUGUGGCAUAUCUUGUAAUUUGACCUGAGAUUGGGUAGGGAUACCCGCUGAACUUAAGCAUAUCAAUAAGCGGAGGA
Molecule: unclassified non-coding RNA, 374 nt
Filed under: soil metagenome
Description: partial contains internal transcribed spacer 2 and large subunit ribosomal RNA
Rfam family: 5.8S ribosomal RNA (bases 1-120)
Source: RNAcentral